RNAcentral lists this ribosomal RNA (505 nucleotides) under uncultured bacterium. Its description in RNAcentral is "bacterial SSU rRNA". It matches the Rfam family "Bacterial small subunit ribosomal RNA", at positions 8 to 499 of the family's 1533-position model. The record is from RNAcentral.
AGAGUUUGAUUCUGGCUCAUGAUGAACGCUGGCGGCGUGCUUAACACAUGCAAGUCGAACGGGGUUAUCAUUUUUGAAGCGAUUAGCUUGCUAAGAGUGGAAAAGUUGAUAACUUAGUGGCGGACGGGUGAGUAACGCGUGGGUAACCUGCCUUACACAGGGGGAUAACACUUACAAAUAGGUGCUAAUACCGCAUAAGCGCACAGUCCCGCAUGGGACAGAGUGAAAAACAUUAGUGGUGUAAGAUGGACCCGCGUCUGAUUAGCUUGUUGGCGGGGUAACGGCCCACCAAGGCGACGAUCAGUAGCCGGCCUGAGAGGGUGGACGGCCACAUUGGGACUGAUACACGGCCCAAACUCCUACGGCCACCCCCACUGGGGGAUAUUGGACAAUGGGGGAAACCCUGAUCCAGCGACGCCGCGUGAGUGAAGAAGUAUUUCGGUAUGUAAAGCUCUAUCAGCAGGGAAAAAAGAAAUGACGGUACCUGAGUAAGAAGCCCCGGCUA